This 746-nucleotide long non-coding RNA is filed under the name Homo sapiens (human). RNAcentral describes it as "HSALNT0284639". Lineage: Eukaryota; Metazoa; Chordata; Mammalia; Primates; Hominidae. The record is from RNAcentral.
CGGAGUCUCGCUCCGUCCCCCAGGCGGGAGUGCAGUGGCGCGAUCUCGGCUCACUGCAAGCUCCGCCUCCCGGGUUCACGCCAUCUUGCCACUAAACCUGAUUUACCAACAUAACCUGUUUCUGGCCAUGCUGUGAAUCUGCAUUCUUUACUGUGUCCUUGGGAUACUAGGAGGAACCAGAGGAGCAGAUCCUGCUAGGAGGCUAAGCAUGAAGAAGGAAUUCAAAGAAACCUUGUGGAGAACGAAGACACAGCAGGGAGUCUCUGAUCAAGUGCCACAUCUUUAGAGAAGCUUUUCCAAACAACCACUCUGGUAACCACCAAUCUACACUCUAUUUUCAUGAGAUCCAGUUUUAUAGCUCCCACAUGUAACUUUUCAGACAUGAAUUGGAAUAAGAUAAGGCCAACUUGCUCAACUACAUUCCUUACUAAAACAUAAUAACUAAAAGCUACAGUGUGCAUUUCAUGUUUCACAUGUUCUGUUGCAGUGCCAAGACUAGGUUUAAGCAAUUCAGCUGCACAGUUACCAACCACUUCUUCUUGGAAGAUUUACCUACAAUCUAACUGAUAUACUUAACAAAAUUAUAUUUUUAAUAUUGAUUGUACAAUUUUUUACUCCUUAAUUGUAUCUGACAGCUUCUUAUACUUUAAACUUGAUCAACAGUAAAUUGUGAAGAGAGUAACUAUACACCACAUGGCUUGACAAUAUCCAAACAUCAUUCUUGUUCUACAAAAGUUACAAAUGGU